RNAcentral lists this ribosomal RNA (497 nucleotides) under uncultured bacterium. RNAcentral's name for it is "partial 16S ribosomal RNA". It matches the Rfam family "Bacterial small subunit ribosomal RNA", at positions 30 to 523 of the family's 1533-position model. The record is from RNAcentral.
AUUGAACGCUGGCGGCAUGCCUAACACAUGCAAGUCGAACGCGAAAGAGGGGCAACCCUUGAGUAGAGUGGCGGACGGGUGAGUAAUACGUAGGAAUCUGCCCUAGAGUGGGGGAUAACCUGUCGAAAGACGGGCUAAUACCGCAUAUACUCUGAGGAGCAACGGUGGCUAGCAAUAGCUUUCGCUUUAGGAGGAGCCUACGUCGGGUUAGCUAGUUGGUAGGGUAAUGGCCUACCAAGGCAAUAAUCCGUAGCUGGUCUGAGAGGACGAUCAGCCACACUGGAACUGAGGCACGGUCCAGACUCCUACGGGAGGCAGCAGUGGGGAAUAUUGGACAAUGGGGGAAACCCUGAUCCAGCAAUGCCGCGUGUGCGAUGAAGGCCUGUGGGUUGUAAAGCACUUUAAGUCGGGAGGAAGGGCUGUAGGUUAAUACCCUGCGGUUUUGACGUUACCGACAGAAUAAGCACCGGCUAACUUCGUGCCAGCCGCCGCGGUAA